UCACAUUGCCCUGCAUUACAUAAAGAGGGGCAAAACUCCGAGGCUCUUAUUCGGAUUAAAAGCGUAGCUCAGUACCUUUAUUUGAGAAGGAACCCAUCCAUGUUCAGAGAUGACAGUUCUCCGCCAGUCUACUGGUGAUAACCAUUUGAUUCUGCACUUGGGAAUAAAUUUUCUGAUAGCUGAUGAUAUGCUUGGAAUACUUGCUGUCAAGCUAAAGAAAGGAUCGGCUUUGGAAUUUGGGCGAAGUUGCAUAUUACCGGCAUGCAUGUUGAAGUGAAGGUAUGAAUUUGACUAACGUGAAAUUGAUAAUAUGAUCUUUAGUCAUUGGUUGGACAAAAGCUUAUAGGAGUAAAUUUGUAUAUAGAACAAACAGAACCAUAACUAAAAUUUUGCUUGAUCAGGAGCGUAUUGAAAGACGUUUGAGAUAUCUCAAAAGCCAAAAAGAGAAUCUCGAAUCCUCCA
Long non-coding RNA from Rosa chinensis, 462 nucleotides. RefSeq lists it as uncharacterized. The transcript is spliced from 3 exons. The record is from RefSeq and is a predicted model, not a curated record. NCBI's taxonomy places the organism in Eukaryota, Viridiplantae, Streptophyta, Magnoliopsida, Rosales, Rosaceae.